RNAcentral lists this ribosomal RNA (610 nucleotides) under Methylobacterium radiotolerans. Its description in RNAcentral is "bacterial SSU rRNA". It matches the Rfam family "Bacterial small subunit ribosomal RNA", at positions 49 to 705 of the family's 1533-position model. Lineage: Bacteria; Pseudomonadati; Pseudomonadota; Alphaproteobacteria; Hyphomicrobiales; Methylobacteriaceae. The record is from RNAcentral.
UAACACAUGCAAGUCGAGCGGGCCCUUCGGGGUCAGCGGCGGACGGGUGAGUAACGCGUGGGAACGUGCCUUCUGGUUCGGAAUAACCCUGGGAAACUAGGGCUAAUACCGGAUACGCCCUUUUGGGGAAAGGUUUACNGCCGGAAGAUCGGCCCGCGUCUGAUUAGCUAGUUGGUGGGGUAACGGCCUACCAAGGCGACGAUCAGUAGCUGGUCUGAGAGGAUGAUCAGCCACACUGGGACUGAGACACGGCCCAGACUCCUACGGGAGGCAGCAGUGGGGAAUAUUGGACAAUGGGCGCAAGCCUGAUCCAGCCAUGCCGCGUGAGUGAUGAAGGCCUUAGGGUUGUAAAGCUCUUUUAUCCGGGACGAUAAUGACGGUACCGGAGGAAUAAGCCCCGGCUAACUUCGUGCCAGCAGCCGCGGUAAUACGAAGGGGGCUAGCGUUGCUCGGAAUCACUGGGCGUAAAGGGCGCGUAGGCGGCGUUUUAAGUCGGGGGUGAAAGCCUGUGGCUCAACCACAGAAUGGCCUUCGAUACUGGGACGCUUGAGUAUGGUAGAGGUUGGUGGAACUGCGAGUGUAGAGGUGAAAUUCGUAGAUAUUCGCAAGA